This 301-nucleotide ribosomal RNA is filed under the name uncultured bacterium. Its description in RNAcentral is "partial 16S ribosomal RNA". It matches the Rfam family "Bacterial small subunit ribosomal RNA", at positions 509 to 807 of the family's 1533-position model. The record is from RNAcentral.
CAGUAGCCGCGGUAAUACAGAGGGUGCAAGCGUUAAUCGGAAUUACUGGGCGUAAAGCGCGCGUAGGUGGUUUGUUAAGUUGGAUGUGAAAGCCCCGGGCUCAACCUGGGAACUGCAUCCAAAACUGGCAAGCUAGAGUACGGUAGAGGGUGGUGGAAUUUCCUGUGUAGCGGUGAAAUGCGUAGAUAUAGGAAGGAACACCAGUGGCGAAGGCGACCACCUGGACUGAUACUGACACUGAGGUGCGAAAGCGUGGGGAGCAAACAGGAUUAGAUACCCGUGUAGUCCCUGUCUCUUAUAC